UUCCUGUUCGAGGCAUUAAAA
Molecule: non-coding RNA, 21 nt
Filed under: Caenorhabditis elegans
Lineage: Eukaryota; Metazoa; Nematoda; Chromadorea; Rhabditida; Rhabditidae
Source: RNAcentral